GAUACGCAUUGUGAAUUGCAGAUUUCAGUGAACCAUUAGAUUUCCGAACGCAUAUGGCGCUGUAGGGACUUCCCUGCAGCACGUCUGUUUCAGUGUCUUUCAA
Molecule: ribosomal RNA, 103 nt
Filed under: Eimeria auburnensis
Lineage: Eukaryota; Apicomplexa; Conoidasida; Eucoccidiorida; Eimeriidae
Description: partial 5.8S rRNA
Rfam family: 5.8S ribosomal RNA
About the family: 5.8S ribosomal RNA (5.8S rRNA) is a component of the large subunit of the eukaryotic ribosome. It is transcribed by RNA polymerase I as part of the 45S precursor that also contains 18S and 28S rRNA.
Source: RNAcentral